AUCCUCCAAAGAAUUAGUGUUUGUGACAAAUGCUUGUGUUUCCUUAAGUGAUAGUGACAUUUUAGCAGGAAAUCAUUAAUUUUCUUUGGAAGGAGAUAUAUUACUUGUCAUAUGUAUUGUCAGGUUCCAUUUCCCAUUAUAUGUUUCAGGGAGGAAAUAAUGCCGGCCACACAGUUGUUGUAGAUUCCGUGGAGUAUGAUUUUCAUCUUUUACCCAGUGGAAUAAUUAAUCCAAAUGUUACUGCAUUCAUUGGAAAUGGUGUGGUAAUUCAUCUUCCGGGAUUAUUUGAGGAAGCAGAAAAAAAUGUUAAAAAA
Molecule: long non-coding RNA, 314 nt
Organism: Myotis lucifugus (little brown bat)
Lineage: Eukaryota; Metazoa; Chordata; Mammalia; Chiroptera; Vespertilionidae
Exons: 2
Source: RefSeq, a predicted model, not a curated record